This 460-nucleotide ribosomal RNA is filed under the name uncultured bacterium. Its description in RNAcentral is "partial 16S ribosomal RNA". It matches the Rfam family "Bacterial small subunit ribosomal RNA", at positions 338 to 795 of the family's 1533-position model. The record is from RNAcentral.
CCUACGGGAGGCAGCAGUGAGGAAUAUUGGUCAAUGGGCUUGCGCCUGAACCAGCCAAGUCGCGUGAGGGAAGACUGCCCUAUGGGUUGUAAACCUCUUUUGUCAGGGAGCAAUUGGCGCUACGUGUAGCGUUAUCUAUGGUCCCUGAAGAAAAGGCAUCGGCUAACUCCGUGCCAGCGGCCGCGGUAAUACGGGGGAUGCGAGCGUUAUCCGGAUUUGUGGGGUUUAAGGGUUGCGUAGGCGGAAUGCCAAGUCAGCGGUAAAGUCGAGGGGCUCAACCUCGCUCCGCCGUUGAAACUGGCGGUCUUGAGUGGGAGAGAAGUAUGCGGAAUGCGUGGUGUAGCGGUGAAAUGCAUAGAUAUCACGCAGAACUCCGAUUGCGAAGGCAGCAUACCGGCGCCCAACUGACGCUGAAGCACGAAAGCGUGGGUAUCGAACAGGAUUAGAUACCCCAGUAGUC